Molecule: ribosomal RNA, 204 nt
Filed under: Monothalamids sp.
Lineage: Eukaryota; Foraminifera
Description: partial small subunit ribosomal RNA
Rfam family: Eukaryotic small subunit ribosomal RNA
Source: RNAcentral
AAGGGCACCACAAGAACGCGUGGAGCAUGUGGCUUAAUUUGACUCAACGCGGGAAAUCUUACCGGGUCCGGACACACUGAGGAUUGACAGGUUCUAAUAGUAUCUUUUUGCGGAGAUAUUAGUAAAUAUGCUAGACCUUUCAUGAUUGUGUGAUAGGUGGUGCAUGGCCGUUCUUAGUUCGUGGACUAAUCUGUCUGGUUAAUU